GCCCAGUCGUGGGGGAUAACGCAGCGAAAGCUGUGCUAAUACCGCAUACGAUCUCUGGAUGAAAGCGGGGGACCUGCAAGGGCCUCGCGCGAUUGGAGCGGCCGAUAUCAGAUUAGCUAGUUGGUGGGGUAAAAGCUCACCAAGGCGACGAUCUGUAGCUGGUCUGAGAGGACGACCAGCCACACUGGAACUGAGACACGGUCCAGACUCCUACGGGAGGCAGCAGUGGGGAAUUUUGGACAAUGGGCGCAAGCCUGAUCCAGCAAUGCCGCGUGCAGGAUGAAGGCCUUCGGGUUGUAAACUGCUUUUGUACGGAACGAAACGGUUCUCUUUAAUAAAGAGGGCUAAUGACGGUACCGUAAGAAUAAGCACCGGCCAACUACGUGCCAGCAGCCGCGGUAAUA
Molecule: ribosomal RNA, 404 nt
Filed under: uncultured bacterium
Lineage: Bacteria
Description: bacterial SSU rRNA
Rfam family: Bacterial small subunit ribosomal RNA
Source: RNAcentral